GGCUGUGAGGGCGAUCUGGCUGCGACAUCUGUCACCUCACUGAUCACCAGGGUUGAUUCGGCUGAUCUGGCUGGCUAGGCGGGUGUCCCCUUCCUCCCUCACUGCUCCAUCUGUGUCCCUCCCGAAGCUGCAUGCUCGGUUGAAGAAGACGACAUUCCCCAAUAGAAGGAGGACUGUCCUUCGGUCAAGGGUAUACAAGUAGCUGCGCUUUCCUGCUAGAGCCUCCAAAUAUUUUCUAUAUUUAUUUUUCCCCUACACUCUCAAU
This 265-nucleotide small RNA is filed under the name Echinops telfairi (small Madagascar hedgehog). Its description in RNAcentral is "7SK RNA (ENSETEG00000022139.1)". It matches the Rfam family "7SK RNA", at positions 1 to 248 of the family's 331-position model. Rfam says of the family: 7SK was discovered as an abundant small nuclear RNA in the mid-70s but a possible function has only recently been suggested. Two independent studies have found that 7SK RNA binds the CDK9/cyclin T complex (known as elongation factor P-TEFb). The record is from RNAcentral. Lineage: Eukaryota; Metazoa; Chordata; Mammalia; Afrosoricida; Tenrecidae.